AUUGAACGCUGGCGGCAUGCUUUACACAUGCAAGUCGAACGGUAACAGGCCUUCGGGUGCUGACGAGUGGCGAACGGGUGAGUAAUGCAUCGGAACGUACCCAGAGGUGGGGGAUAACGCAGCGAAAGCUGUGCUAAUACCGCAUGUGAUCUGAGGAUGACAGCGGGGGACCGAGCAGCAAUGUUUGGCCUCGCGCCUUUGGAGCGGCCGCUGUCGGAUUAGCUAGUUGGUGGGGUAAAGGCCUACCAAGGCGACGAUCCGUAGCUGGUCUGAGAGGACGACCAGCGACACUGGGACUGGGACACGGCCCAGACUCCUACGGGAGGCAGCAGUGGGGAAUUUUGGACAAUGGGCGCAAGCCUGAUCCAGCAAUGCCGCGUGCGGGAAGAAGGCCUGCGGGUUGUAAACCGCUUUUGGCAGGAACGAAACGGUGUCCGCUAAUACCGGGCGCUAAUGACGGUACCUGCAGAAUAAGCACCGGCUAACUACGUG
This 492-nucleotide ribosomal RNA is filed under the name uncultured bacterium. RNAcentral describes it as "partial 16S ribosomal RNA". It matches the Rfam family "Bacterial small subunit ribosomal RNA", at positions 29 to 507 of the family's 1533-position model. The record is from RNAcentral.